Drosophila virilis is the source of this 185-nucleotide non-coding RNA. Lineage: Eukaryota; Metazoa; Arthropoda; Insecta; Diptera; Drosophilidae. The record is from RefSeq and is a predicted model, not a curated record.
GAUCUAGCCAUGUCCGUCUGUCUCUCUUUGCGCAUAUGCGACUGUGGAAAGGAAUCGGACAGUUUUUCCGUCUCGUCUACCAUACUAACAAAUUCAGAAAUGUUACUUGAGUGCCUCAAGUAGCUACGUUGAUCGAACACCAGUACUUCCCCGUCUAAGACCGGAAUGUAAUUGGUAUGCGAGAA